Long non-coding RNA from Micropterus salmoides (largemouth bass), 1289 nucleotides. RefSeq lists it as uncharacterized. The record is from RefSeq and is a predicted model, not a curated record. NCBI's taxonomy places the organism in Eukaryota, Metazoa, Chordata, Actinopteri, Centrarchiformes, Centrarchidae. The transcript has 2 exons.
CACGGGCAUCCUCGCUGUGGUUUGUUGCUCUCAACUACUGUGAUGUGGUCCAUAUUGCUGGUUUUGGAUACCCCACCUCAAACAGCCAAAAGCAACCUAUCCAUUACUACGGCUAUGACACAAUAAAAUCUAUGAAGAAUUCCUACCAUGACAUCAAACAUGAAGCCGAAGCCUUAAGAAGACUGGAGGAUUCAGGAGCCAUUUUGUACCUGCAUCCACAUUUAUGAUGCGCACAUUUCCAGUUCAAUUAAUCCAGUAAAUGAUUGUACGCCAAAUCUUAUUUGAAUUUGGUCUGGAUCAUCCGAUCCAGAUCAGAUCUUAAUGUGCCUUCUGCAGUGACACACAGGAUACAAGACAUGUCGCUGGUGCAUUAAGUCAUCAUUUGGUGACAUGGAUGCUCUGAAGAAUGUGGAUCUCCCUGGCACCUUGAAUUUUGUUAAAGUGACAGACAUAAAAGUGAUUUAACAGCUUUUUAAAAACAGCCUAUGUUCUAUUUGUCAUGUAGUAAACUUGAACAAUGUUGCUCAGCAUUUUUCAUAAUGUUUAAAGGUGUGUAACUUUUAUGGGUUUUGAAUCAUGACUUUCAAAUUUAGUUCUGUUACUCAUGUGGCGACCGAGUUGUCUGUUUGUGAUAAUCCAGCGAACAAAUUUCAUCCGAUUUUUGAUAAUGCCAAUGUGUUGAUGUUGCUUUUAGGGCCAUCUGAUAGUGUGGGCUUACAACUGUCACACCAUAGGAAUCAAGCAUUUCAGAUCUAUAGCUCACUUUUGUUUUUGUCCAGAGAUUACAUGCAUAUCAUUGAGCUGUAAAACUAAUUGAUCAGCCUUGAUAAUUUCCUUCUGUAAACACUCAUCAAAUUUUGAGAUUCAUUUUUAUGCUUUACAAGUGUGAAUAUUAUUACUGAACUAAAAAUCUCUUUACGUUGUAGAGGUUUGUUGGAAUCAAUGGGUAUUUUUGUGAACUUCAGUGUAAUUUUGUGAUCAAAGGAACAUGAAUUAAUUCCAUACCUGAUCAACGCAGUUAGCUGGAUGAAUUUCACUUUACUUUUAGAUUUCUUGGACUAUAAGUACUACUUGUAUUUUAUUCAAUCUCACAUCAGUUGUUUUUUAAUUUAUUUAAUCUUUUUUGUGGUAUUGGUGCUGCUGGACAUUUUUAUUGUACAGAAUGAAAUACAUUUUUAAUUAAGAGGAAUUUUAUUUGAUUCUCAUUUAACAUUAUGUUCACAUGCAUUAUCAAACAGGCUCAUGUAUCUACUGUAUGGAAAUCACUAUAUGACCUGAGUGAACCUGCA